This 362-nucleotide ribosomal RNA is filed under the name uncultured Thermus sp. RNAcentral describes it as "bacterial SSU rRNA". It matches the Rfam family "Bacterial small subunit ribosomal RNA", at positions 1020 to 1382 of the family's 1533-position model. Lineage: Bacteria; Thermotogati; Deinococcota; Deinococci; Thermales; Thermaceae. The record is from RNAcentral.
GGGGAGGCCCUAGCACAGGUGCUGCAUGGCCGUCGUCAGCUCGUGCCGUGAGGUGUUGGGUUAAGUCCCGCAACGAGCGCAACCCCCGCCGUUAGUUGCCAGCGGUUCGGCCGGGCACUCUAACGGGACUGCCCGCGAAAGCGGGAGGAAGGAGGGGACGACGUCUGGUCAGCAUGGCCCUUACGGCCUGGGCGACACACGUGCUACAAUGCCCACUACAAAGCGAUGCCACCCGGCAACGGGGAGCUAAUCGCAAAAAGGUGGGCCCAGUUCGGAUUGGGGUCUGCAACCCGACCCCAUGAAGCCGGAACCGCUAGUAAUCGCGGAUCAGCCAUGCCGCGGUGAAUACGUUCCCGGGCCUU